This 292-nucleotide ribosomal RNA is filed under the name uncultured bacterium. Its description in RNAcentral is "partial 16S ribosomal RNA". It matches the Rfam family "Bacterial small subunit ribosomal RNA", at positions 505 to 796 of the family's 1533-position model. The record is from RNAcentral.
GUGUCAGCCGCCGCGGUAAAACGUAGGAGCCAAGCGUUAUCCGAAUUCACUGGGCGUAAAGCGCGUGCAGGCGGCUGCGCAAGUUGGGUGUGAAAUCUCCCGGCUCAACUGGGAGAGGCCGCUCAAGACUGCGUGGCUCGAGGCUGGUAGAGGGAGGUGGAAUUCCCGGUGUAGUGGUGAAAUGCGUAGAUAUCGGGAGGAACACCAGUGGCGAAAGCGGCCUCCUGGACCAGUCCUGACGCUAAGAUGCGAAAGCUAGGGGAGCAAACGGGAUUAGAAACCCCCGUAGUCC